Molecule: ribosomal RNA, 427 nt
Filed under: uncultured bacterium
Lineage: Bacteria
Description: partial 16S ribosomal RNA
Rfam family: Bacterial small subunit ribosomal RNA
Source: RNAcentral
UGGGGAAUAUUGGACAAUGGGCGAAAGCCUGAUCCAGCCAUGCCGCGUGUGUGAAGAAGGUCUUCGGAUUGUAAAGCACUUUAAGUUGGGAGGAAGGGCAGUAAGCUAAUACCUUGCUGUUUUGACGUUACCGACAGAAUAAGCACCGGCUAACUCUGUGCCAGCAGCCGCGGUAAUACAGAGGGUGCAAGCGUUCAUCGGAAUUACUGGGCGUAAAGCGCGCGUAGGUGGUUUGUUAAGUUGGAUGUGAAAGCCCCGGGCUCAACCUGGGAACUGCAUCCAAAACUGGCAAGCUAGAGUACGGUAGAGGGUGGUGGAAUUUCCUGUGUAGCGGUGAAAUGCGUAGAUAUAGGAAGGAACACCAGUGGCGAAGGCGACCACCUGGACUGAUACUGACACUGAGGUGCGAAAGCGUGGGGAGCAAACA